This 449-nucleotide ribosomal RNA is filed under the name uncultured bacterium. RNAcentral's name for it is "partial 16S ribosomal RNA". It matches the Rfam family "Bacterial small subunit ribosomal RNA", at positions 29 to 523 of the family's 1533-position model. The record is from RNAcentral.
AACGAACGCUGGCGGCAUGCCUAACACAUGCAAGUCGAACGAAGCCUUCGGGCUUAGUGGCGCACGGGUGCGUAACGCGUGGGAAUCUGCCCUUUGGUUCGGAAUAACAGUUGGAAACGACUGCUAAUACCGGAUGAUGACGAAAGUCCAAAGAUUUAUCGCCAGAGGAUGAGCCCGCGUAGGAUUAGCUAGUUGGUGUGGUAAAGGCGCACCAAGGCGACGAUCCUUAGCUGGUCUGAGAGGAUGAUCAGCCACACUGGGACUGAGACACGGCCCAGAGUCCUACGGGAGGCAGCAGUGGCGAAUAUUGGACAAUGGGCGAAGGCCUGAUCCAGCAAUGCCGCGUGAGUGAUGAAGGCCCUAGGGUUAUAAAGCUCUUUUACCCGGGAUGAUAAUGACAGUACCGGGAGAAUAAGCCCCGGCUAACUCCGUGCCAGCCGCCGCAGUAA